GUUCUCUCCGUAAUCCUCAGACUGUAUCUUUCUUGAAAUUGCUAGAUCUUCCUUAUGUUCUUGAUAAUGCAUCGGACUCCAGGGAUACUCCUGCUUCAUUGCCUCAAAAGGGUCUUGAAGGAGGCCUCUAGGCUUUAUGCUGCAAGUUGUGUCAGGGAUAUUGGUCCUGAUCUUAGACCAAACGAUUAUCAGAAGGAUGAUGGGACUGAAGGUAAAUCCAAUGGAGAUAAGAGUAGGAGUACAGACACAGAACCUUCGACCUUGGAGGAUAUUGCAAUUGCUGCAAGAGGAGGGAUGGAGACUUUGGGGCCUGCUUUAGAGAGGUUAUACAUGACAAGGGAUUCUGCAUAUAGAGAUGCUCUUAAGAGUUUCAUAGAAGGAUAUGAAGAAGGUAUCCAGAAGGUCAUGGAGAAAAAGGAAGAUUCUUCUCUAGCACAGCAAGAAGGCAAUACUGAUAAAAAUUCAACUUGAUGGCUUAUAAGUGCAUACUCGGAGAUGCAUGUGAGUACUUCUCCGGGAUACCUAUUGUAGAUACAAGUUUAGAGAUUUGGUGGAGCUGGGUUGGCAUGAAAUCACAAGAAUGAUACAUGUCCUGAGAACUUUCUUUCCCUCCCCACUUCCAGGUUGCUAGAUUAUUCAAUGAAGCUGCUCAGAUGUCUCCUGAGGAUGCUGAUGUACACAUUGUCCUUGGUGUUCUGUAUAAUUUGUCGAGAGAAUAUAAUAAGGCCAUUGCAUCUUUCAAAACUGCUUUGAAACUUAAACCUAAUGAUUAUUCUUUUUGGAACAAGCUUGGUGCAACACAAGCCAACAGUGUGCAGAGUGCUGAUGCAAUAUUAGCUUAUCAACAGGCACUAGAUUUGAAGCCAAACUAUGUGCAUGCUUGGGCAAACAUGGGUAUCAGUUACGCUAACCAGCAACAGAGGUGGGUUCGUUUACCUAUUGGCUUCGACACCGGAGUUAUGGACUUUGGUUCUAAGUCAUAGGACUCAGAUUCUUUAUAUUGCGGAUAUUAGCUUUGUGAUUAUGUACUUGGAAGUAGUUCCGGGUUGUUUGGUUCUUGAAUCCGGGACCGGUAGUGGCUCAUUAACAACAUCGUUUGCAAGGGUUGUGGCACAUGUGUAUACCUUUGAUUUCCAUUAACAGAUGGCUGCCUCAGCUAGAGAGGACUUCGAGAGGACUGGAAUAAGCACUUUAGUUACCAUGGGAGUUCGAGAUAUUCAGGGUGAGGUAUUUCCCGAUCAGUUUUCUGGGUUGGCUGACUCCGUAUUUCUGGACCUACUGGAACCUUGGCUAGCCAUUCCUUCAGCUUGCACAUGUUGAAACAAGAUGGAACUCUGUGUUCCUUCUCAUCGUGCAUCGAACAAGUGCAGCGUUCAUGUAAAACUCUUAGAUCUGAGGUUACAAGUAACAUAUUAGAAUUAAGUUAUCCUAACUUUUUGAAGCAGUUUUUCUUUUAAAGCAGUUUCAAAACUGCUUUGAAACUUAAACCUAAUGAUUAUUCUAUUUGGAACAAGCUUGGUGCAACACAAGCCAACUGUGUGCAGAGUGCUGAUGCAAUAUUAGCUUAUCAACAGGCACUAGAUUUGAAGCCAAACUAUGUGCGUGCUUGGGCAAACAUGGGUAUUAGUUACGCCAACCAGGUUUGUUAUAUCUUGCACUGUUCUCUCAUUGUCUUGACAUUCAUGAAAAGGGAGCUCCAAUUACUCUAACCCUCUAACUAUUUUAUUUUACCGAUGAAAAUAAAAUAAAAAUAUUAUAAUAUUGUUAUGUUAUAAAAUAAAACCCAAAGUUUCUCUCCGUUAAAUCAAGAUCCAUUGUCAUUAGCUUAUUUCUCUCUCUCGAAAAAGGAAAAGAAAAGGUUUCUGAUCGAUGAAAAUUGAGGGAAAUUUGUAUCAAACUUGACAUUAGUCCCUUGUUCUUCUUAAAUAAUUCCUUAUUCACCUAUGAGUUGGCAAAUUCUGUUCAUCCUGCAUUUUCCCGGAAGCCAAAUAGGAGACUUAAAUGUUUUUAAUUUAGAAAAUUUUGUUCUCUUACGGAAAUAUUGAAAAAAUACAUGUUUUCAGUUGAUCCCUUUAUUCUCUCCAAUUUCCCUUUAAUUUUUUCUAACGUCUUUUUUCCUUUACUGGCUGUUAAUUUUCUUUCUUAUUCUGUUCGGGCUUUAUCUUUGUCAUAUUCUGACUCGGAAUAAGCUAUUCUCCGGAUAUCUUGCCUUUUCUUAUUCCGAUUCUGAAUCUUUGGCUUCCGGUUUAUGGGUUUUAGUGCCCGGUUCAGCUAUUUUUUAUUGUCUGGACCGGUCAACUUGUCAAACUUAUUCCGGCCAGGGAUAUCCCUAGAAUGGGAUAUCCUGGUUCGUUGUUAUCCCAUGGUGGUAUAUCCCGGCCUUGGUUUAUCCCAUUUUAGGAAUAUCCCGAUUCCCCGCUUUUCUUUCCCAAGUAAUUUAAAAAGGGUAUUAAUUACCAUAAAUGUUACCGUUGUCACGUGGGGAUUUAGAAAAUUAAGUUCUCUCUCUUCCAUUCAUAGCUUCCUCGUUUCUUCACCUAUUCGAAAUUUGAAUCCUCAAAUCUAUCUCUUCUAUCCAUAGCACCCUAUUUAUUCAUGACUCCUCUCUCCUUGUGUGUUUUUGAAUUUCUUCCUCUCAUUUUUUUCUAGUUUUGGGUCAUCGAAUGCCAAAAAAAAAAACACAGAAAGACGCUACUCUAGGUUUUCUCUGCCGUUUUUGGUUUUUGUGAUUUUUUGAAAUUCUCUGCUUCAUCGGUGGCUGAUUUCAGGUAUUGUUGGAAUUCCUUAAAUUAAGCAGAUUUUUUACCUUAGUUCUAGGAAUUUUCUUGUACUAUUAGCCAUAAUCAAAUUACUAAUUUUUAGGGAUAGGCUAAUUUUUAGAGAUUAUUUUCUUUUUAUUUUUCUUGCUAUUCUUUAAAAGGCUAUAGUCAGAUUAGAAAAAAUAAGAAUAAUUCUUCCUAAACUUGUUCAUGGUAUCAGAGCAUCAGGAAUUCAGUUGAUCAUACUAUUUCUUCUCUUUUCUUGUUCUGUUUUCUCUGUUAGAAACCCUACUCUCAUGGGUGACACCGAAAAUUCCUCUGAGACUCUUCAUAAACUUUGGCUAACCAAAACUCAACUCAAGGCUUUUCAUAAACUACUCAGGACUCCUACAGCCAGUGGGUCACUAGCUAUUCAAGGUACUGCUUUAAAUACUAUACACGAACCUAUCACAACUUCCUGGAUACUAGACUCGGGUGCAUCCGACCACAUGACAGGUAAUCUAAGUUUGUUUCACACCUAUUUACAUUGUCAUGAUUACUCUCGGAUUCAAUAAGCGAUGGAUCUUACUCAUUGGUGGUGGAAUUGGGACAGUUAGACUUCUUCAAAAUUUUUCCCUUGAUAAAGUUUUACAUGUUCCAAAUCUUUCCUAUAAUUUACUCUCAAUUAGCAAGCUUACCAAGGAUAAAAAUUACUUGUUGAAUUUUUUGCUUUAGGUUGUGUGGUUCAGAAUGAGAAUCGGGAAGAUGAUUGGCACUACUAAAGUUGAUGAUGGCUUAUAUGUUUGGAACAAAAGCAGUUCACAAGAAGGGAUGGCCUUAUCUACAUCAAAAGAAGAUUCUAUCAUGCUAUGGCACCGUAGACUAGGACACCCAAAUUUCAUGUACUUCAAGAAAUUGUUUCCUCUACUAUUUCUAAAUAAGAAAAUAAGUUCAUUGAACUGUGAAGUUUGCCAACUGUCUAAACACACUCUUGUCCCUUAUCCUUUGAAACCUUAUGUUCAAUCUCAACCUUUCUCUUUAAUCCACAGUGAUCUAUGGGGAGCCAGUCGAGUAAAAAACAUCACAGGGGCUAGGUGGUUCAUAACUUUCAUUGAUGACCACACUAGAGUUUGUUGGAUCUAUCUUCUUAAAGAAAAAUCUUAAGUCUCUAGAGUCUUCAAAAAUUUUCUUUCAAUGAUUCAAACCCAGUUCAAUUCAAAUACACACCCUUAGAACUGAUAAUGGGAGAGAGUACUUUAAUUCUAUCCUAAGUCCUUAUCUUUCUGAACAAGGAAUCAUACAUCAAAGUUCUUGUCCUGACACCCCUCAACAAAACGGGGUUUUCGAGAGGAAAAAUAGACACCUUGUAGCCGUGGCUUGUGCUCUUAUGUUUACUAUGGGUGUACCAAAGUUUUUAUGGGGAGAAGCUGUUCUCACUGCUUGUCAUCUUAUAAACCGACUCCCAUCUAAGGUAUUAAACUUUCAAACACCUUUACAUACUCUUCAAAAAAAUUUUCCCUUGUUUCGUGUUCCUAAUCUCCCAACCAAAACAUUUGGUUGCAAAGUAUUUGUCCACAACCAUCAACCUAACCGAUCUAAACUUGAUCCUAGAGCCCACACUUGUGUCUUUAUUGGUUACUCACCUACACAAAAAGGGUACAAGUGCUACUCUCCAACCUUACACCGGAUGUUUGUGUCCCUUGAUGUUACUUUCUUCGAAAACGAGCCAUAUUUUUCAGCCUCUCAUCUUCAGGGGGAGAUACUUAUUGAAGAUGAGACCUUGAGCAAUCUUCUCAUUAUACCUAAAGACUCUAUCAGCCCUACCACCAUUACAAAACCUGCUGAAAAUCCUACAGCCAUUGUUUUUCCUGUUUUGGAACCUGUUUUCCCUAUCUCAACUGUUCAAAGAACAAGAAACAAGGGUGAUUAACCAUACUAAUGAAGAAAACACCCCAUUCAUUUUGAAAACAACAAGAAAAAACUCGGAGGCUUCGUGUAUACUCUCGGAGACAUCACCGCUCAAAAGCAAAAAGCAGAAGUGCCAAUGCCAUCUUUACCCGAGGACUGUCUUGAGGAAGAAGUUUCACCUCAUUCAUCUUCCAUCUUCCUUCCAAUUACAGUAAGAAAGGGCACUAGGAGCUGCACUCAACAUCCCAUUUCUCGGUUUGUAUCCUAUGGAAACUUGUCUAAAUCCUACAAUGCCUUUGUUUCUAAUGUUGACUCUAUAGAAACUCCAAAAAACAAAGAAGAGGCUUUUAAGUCAACCAAAUGGAGGCAAGCUGUGUUGGAAGAAAUAAAGGCUUUUGAAGACAAUGGAACUUGGGAAAUAUCUAAACUACCUCUUGGGAAGAAGACCGUGGGUUGUAAGUGGAUUUUCACCACAAAAUUUAAACCAGAUGGGAGCAUUGAUCGAUACAAGGCUAGACUUGUGGCGGGGGUUUCACUCAAACAUAUGGGUUGGACUAUGAGGAAACAUUUGCACCGGUGGCCAAAUUGAAUACUAUUCGAGUGCUUCUCUCAAUUGUUUGUCAACUUAGAAUGGCCUUUGAUCCAAUUGGAUGUAAAGAAUGCUUUUCUCAAUGGAGAAUUAAACGAAGAAGUCUACAUGGAUUUUUCACCGGAUUCAAGGAAGCAAGGGCCAAGUAUGCAAGUUGAAGAAGUCCUUGUAUGGACUAAAGCAAUCCCCUAGGGCUUGGUUUAAUCGUUUUGCCAAAGCCAUGACUAGUAGACAUUAUACUCAAGGUCAAGUGAUCAUACCUUAUUCUACAAACACUCGGAUAAUGGGAAGUGUUGUAUUCUCAUUGUCUAUGUAGAUGACAUAAUAUUGACAGGGAUGAUUCUAUUGAAAUUGAAAGACUAAAAGAGUUCUUAAGUCUUGAGUUUCAACUUAAAGAUUUGGGGAAUCUUCGAUAUUUUCUAGGAAUGGAGAUAGUAAGGUCAAAGGCAGGUAUUUUAAUCUCUCAAAGAACGUAUGUUCUUGAUCUACUUUCUGAAGUCGGACUGUUGGGUUGCAAACCAGCCGAGACUCCUAUGGAACCCAACCUUAAAUUAGGAACUGAUAAGGAUGGAGAAGAGGUAGACAGGGGAGAUAUCAACGGUUAGUGGGAAAACUUAUCUAUCUUUCUCACACUCGUCCGGACAUAGCUUUUGGAGUAAGUGUUAUAAGUCAAUUUAUGCAUGCUCCUAGGGAGAAACAUUUGGAAGCUGCCUACAGGAUAUUGAGAUACUUAAAAGGGACUCCUGGUAAGGGUUGCAUUUCAAGAAAGAUGUAAAUCGAAGCAUAAAAGUCUACAAUGAUGCAGACUGGGCAGGGGCAGUUAAUGACAGGCGUUCCACAAGUGGUUACUGCAGCUAUGUUUGGGGUAAUCUCGUGACAUGGAGGAGUAAAAAGCAAUCUGUUAUGGCACGCAGCAGUGCUGAAUCUGAAUAUCGAGCUUUGUCCCACGGUAUAUGUGAAGGAAUGUGGUUACAACGGCUAAUGGGAGAACUAAAAUUAUCCUAUACAAAACCUAUAACAUUAUACUGUGACAACCAGGCAGCAGUUAGCAUAGCUCAUAACCCUGUACACCAUGACCGUACCAAGCAUGUGGAAAUUGAUUGCCACUUUAUUACGGAGAAAAUUAACAAAAGGGAAGUUUGUGUUUCAUAUUUACCUACAAGACAACAAGUAGCAGAUGUGUUAACCAAAAGCUUGAGCAGAAAAAUGUUCGAAGAAAUUAUGGGCAAGCUGGGUUUGAUUAACAUCUACACUCCAGCUUGAGGGGGAGUGUUGGAAUUCCUUAAAUUAAGCAGAUUUUCUACCUUAGUUACAGGAAUUUCCUUGUACUAUUAGCCAUAAUCAAAUUACUAAUUUUUAGGGAUAGGCUAAUUUCUAGAGAUUAUUUUCUUUUUAUUUUUCCUGCUAUUCUUUAAAAGGCUAUAGUCAGAUUAGAAAAAAUAAGAAUAAUUCUUCUUCCUAAACUUGUUCAGGUAUGAAUCAUGACUUCUACUUUGCCUUUGUCUUUGCCAUUUCAUUUUUGUUUUAGUUUCAGAUCUAUUGUUUAUUACUUGUAUUUCAUUUGAUUUUUUUUUAUGAUUUUUUUGUUUUCUUCUUUAUAAAAUCUUUGUCUUUGCUUGAUCAUCUCUUUUUUUUUUUUCAGAUAUAUUUAUUUAUCACUCGAAGCAAAGCAAAAGGGAAAGUAGGAGGGUUUUGAGGAUAGUGAAAAACGGUUGGUCCUGCUUCAUCGGAGAUUCAUUUCAGGUCUUAGCUUUUAGGGACAUAUCUCCCCAGGCUCCUACGCACAUUUUAAUUAUUCCAAAAUCAAAGGAUGGCCUAAUUGGUUUGUCUAAGGUACAAUUUUUUUGUCCUCAUGACUAACUGAGCAGUAAACAUUUAUGCCCUCUAUCAUAGAGGAAACUACAAUUAUGGCUGGGUAUUAAUUUGGAAAAAAAGUAUGGAGUAUUGUUAAAAGAAUGCUGCUCAAGUUUUGUCAAUUUGAUUUGCCUUUUGCGUUUUGCUCACUCUUGAUGCUGUAUGAGGAAAAGAAAGAGAAGGCAAAUAGGAGUGAAAUUAAAUGGAAAUUGUAUCGAAAAAUUCUGGUGGUAAAGACUAAGAGAGGUUAUUAGAAGGUGGGGAACUGAAAGAACAUCAAUGCUGAGGAAAACCUUAAAAUUUGAUAUGCAAGUAUUGAUAGGUAUUGGCCAUAAA
This is an RNA transcript of Gossypium arboreum, 7425 nucleotides long. It is a transcript of the gene named peroxisome biogenesis protein 5-like, with no coding region annotated. The transcript has 9 exons. Lineage: Eukaryota; Viridiplantae; Streptophyta; Magnoliopsida; Malvales; Malvaceae. The record is from RefSeq and is a predicted model, not a curated record.